GACAGAGGGUGCAAACGUUGUUCGGAAUUACUGGGCGUAAAGCGUGUGUAGGCGGUGAGGUAAGUCAGGUGUGAAAGCCCGGAGCUCAACUUCGGAAGUGCACUUGAUACUGCUUCGCUUGAGUACUGGAGAGGUUGGUGGAAUUCUCGGUGUAGAGGUGAAAUUCGUAGAUAUCGAGAGGAACAUCGGUGGCGAAGGCGGCCAACUGGACAGAUACUGACGCUGAGACACGAAAGCGCGGGGAGCAAACAGG
This 253-nucleotide ribosomal RNA is filed under the name uncultured bacterium. RNAcentral's name for it is "partial 16S ribosomal RNA". It matches the Rfam family "Bacterial small subunit ribosomal RNA", at positions 524 to 776 of the family's 1533-position model. The record is from RNAcentral.